GCCCUUAUCGUCUAGAGGUUUAGGACAUUUCUUUUUCAAGGAAAUAACAGGGAUUCGAUUUCCCUUAAGGGUG
RNAcentral lists this transfer RNA (73 nucleotides) under Prosopanche panguanensis. RNAcentral's name for it is "tRNA-Glu". It matches the Rfam family "tRNA". Rfam says of the family: Transfer RNA (tRNA) molecules are approximately 80 nucleotides in length. Their secondary structure includes four short double-helical elements and three loops (D, anti-codon, and T loops). Further hydrogen bonds mediate the characteristic L-shaped molecular structure. tRNAs have two regions of fundamental functional importance: the anti-codon, which is responsible for specific mRNA codon recognition, and the 3' end, to which the tRNAs corresponding amino acid is attached (by aminoacyl-tRNA synthetases). tRNAs cope with the degeneracy of the genetic code in two manners: having more than one tRNA (with a specific anti-codon) for a particular amino acid; and 'wobble' base-pairing, i.e. permitting non-standard base-pairing at the 3rd anti-codon position. The record is from RNAcentral. Lineage: Eukaryota; Viridiplantae; Streptophyta; Magnoliopsida; Piperales; Hydnoraceae.